AGUGAACGCUGGCGGUAGGCCUAACACAUGCAAGUCGAACGGCAGCACAGUAAGAGCUUGCUCUUACGGGUGGCGAGUGGCGGACGGGUGAGGAAUACAUCGGAAUCUACUUUUUCGUGGGGGAUAACGUAGGGAAACUUACGCUAAUACCGCAUACGACCUACGGGUGAAAGCAGGGGAUCUUCGGACCUUGCGCGAUUGAAUGAGCCGAUGUCGGAUUAGCUAGUUGGCGGGGGAAAGGCCCACCAAGGCGACGAUCCGUAGCUGGUCUGAGAGGAUGAUCGGCCACACUGAACCUGAGACACGGUCCAGACUCCUCCGGGAGGCAGCGGUGGGGAAUAUUGGACAAUGGGCGCAAGCCUGAUCAGCCAUACCGCGUGGGUGAAGAAGGCCUUCGGGUUGUAAAGCCCUUUUGUUGGGAAAGAAAAGCAGCAGGUUAAUACCCCGCUGUUCUGACGGUACCCAAAGAAUAAGCACCGGCUAACUUCGUG
Molecule: ribosomal RNA, 491 nt
Filed under: uncultured bacterium
Lineage: Bacteria
Description: partial 16S ribosomal RNA
Rfam family: Bacterial small subunit ribosomal RNA
Source: RNAcentral